CCCAAAUACUGAUGAAGCUGGAAAGCAGGAAGAAGGUCCUGACAACGAUAGACUGGCCGGAGAAGUAGAAGCAGAAAGUUCUUCCCCUCUUGGGGAAAGAGUUAACAUUUCUCAAAUUGUAAAACCAAGUAAUAUGGAUUGA
Long non-coding RNA from Haliotis rubra (blacklip abalone), 142 nucleotides. RefSeq lists it as uncharacterized. The record is from RefSeq and is a predicted model, not a curated record. The transcript has 3 exons. NCBI's taxonomy places the organism in Eukaryota, Metazoa, Mollusca, Gastropoda, Lepetellida, Haliotidae.